UCCUACGGGACGCAGCAGUGGGGAAUAUUGGGCAAUGGGCGCAAGCCUGACCCAGCAACGCCGCGUGAAGGAAGAAGGCUUUCGGGUUGUAAACUUCUUUUGUCAGGGACGAAGCAAGUGACGGUACCUGACGAAUAAGCCACGGCUAACUACGUGCCAGCAGCCGCGGUAAUACGUAGGGGGCAAGCGUUAUCCGGAUUUACUGGGUGUAAAGGGAGCGUAGACGGCUAAUCAAGUCAGAAGUGAAAACCUAGGGCUCAACCUUGGGAGUGCUUUUGAAAAUGAGAAGCUAGAGUGCAGAAGAG
RNAcentral lists this ribosomal RNA (305 nucleotides) under uncultured bacterium. RNAcentral describes it as "bacterial SSU rRNA". It matches the Rfam family "Bacterial small subunit ribosomal RNA", at positions 337 to 656 of the family's 1533-position model. The record is from RNAcentral.